This 969-nucleotide small RNA is filed under the name Pan troglodytes (chimpanzee). Its description in RNAcentral is "processed transcript". The record is from RNAcentral. Lineage: Eukaryota; Metazoa; Chordata; Mammalia; Primates; Hominidae.
GAUGGCGUUAACGAGGGGAGGGAUCCGCCAGGGAGUUGACAAAUUCAUCUGAAUAAUAAAACGCAGCCUGCUUCAUAAACAACCCUUCACUGCCCCCGGAGGUCUGGGGAGCUGGAGCUGUGCUCACAACUAGGGCCUGGGCUCAUACACUGAACUGACCUGGCUGAGGCAUCAGACACGGUGCCAGUCCUGCCCUGCGGGGAAGACAAGAGCACAAAGUGACAAGCCAGUGUGGACUCACUCUGUCCUGGACCUGACCAGAGAGGGUGGCUGACAAGGCUCGGAAUCGUGGCCUCCAGAGGUUUGUCUGGCAGCAGAAGAUGGAGAUAUGACUUUAAGAGCUCUGAAACUCCACUGUAAUAACAGCAACCAACAGGGCUUACAAAGACCAGGCACUUGAAGUGGAUUUGCUCAUCAUUUGACAAGACACCUCUUGACAAGACACCUCCAGAAGGAUUUUGUUUAUUGUAAAGGAUGGAGGAACUAGGGUGAAAAAGAGCCAACAGCUUGCCCAAGAUCAUAUUUGAAGUCCAUGCUUUUGGCCACGUGGCUGUCCUGGGCUUCGGAAGGCUCUGGUGCAGCCUGUGUUAGAGUUUUGUAAUAUAUUGUUUUAUAAUUAUUCACUAUAGACAUUCACUGGUGGGUUGAAGUGUGAGGCAGUGAGCUGUGGGUAUUAAUAACUGACUCGUGUCAGAAGCUUAGCAGUGAACAAAGCACUUUCUCGGAUACAGUUCUUAGAGCUUCUCCUGCUUCUUUUCCCCGGGAAGAAACUUGAGCUGCUAACAUUUUGUAAACCUCCUAAUUUCCUGUAAAUCACAUGUCCCUGCUGAGUGGGGCUGAAAAUGUUUCGGGCAAUGGUUUUCACCCUUAGGUCUGUUCACACUGCCCAGCAGCCAGUUAGCUUCUCUCUGUAGUUUAUGGUGUAGUUUGUCCUUUUUCUGCCGGGGUGGGAGGCAUGGGGCUUUCAUG